GCCGAAGUGGUGGAAUUGGUAGACACGCUAGGUUCAGGGUCUAGUGGACUUAAGUCCGUGGGAGUUCGAGUCUCCCCUUCGGUACCA
This 87-nucleotide transfer RNA is filed under the name Desulfobotulus alkaliphilus. RNAcentral's name for it is "tRNA-Leu". It matches the Rfam family "tRNA". From Rfam's summary of the family: Transfer RNA (tRNA) molecules are approximately 80 nucleotides in length. Their secondary structure includes four short double-helical elements and three loops (D, anti-codon, and T loops). Lineage: Bacteria; Pseudomonadati; Thermodesulfobacteriota; Desulfobacteria; Desulfobacterales; Desulfobacteraceae. The record is from RNAcentral. RNAcentral also lists the same sequence under 1 other name.